Molecule: long non-coding RNA, 298 nt
Organism: Carassius carassius (crucian carp)
Lineage: Eukaryota; Metazoa; Chordata; Actinopteri; Cypriniformes; Cyprinidae
Exons: 3
Source: RefSeq, a predicted model, not a curated record
CAAACAGUGACAUUAUGACUGCAUUCUCACUGCAUCAGCUUCAUCUACAGACGCUGAGGAAAACACGCCAUCCUGCGCUCUAAUCUUGACAUAGUGGAACACAUCUUUUCUCUGUGUCAUAAAGUAAAGAGCAGCUGACAGGGACGAGUCACCAGUCGAGUGACAGACAGAUCAGGACAGGCCGAUGUUGACCAGCUCUUCUGCUGCUCAAAAAGAAAUGCUACCAAGAUCAGCUGCUAGACAAGAACGAUAUCCAGAUAUCCAUCAGUCAACCUGGAGCACAUGGUGGGUUUAGAUG